Salmo salar (Atlantic salmon) is the source of this 1202-nucleotide long non-coding RNA. RefSeq lists it as uncharacterized. NCBI's taxonomy places the organism in Eukaryota, Metazoa, Chordata, Actinopteri, Salmoniformes, Salmonidae. The record is from RefSeq and is a predicted model, not a curated record.
AGGUACUGGGGAAUAGCUGGGGGUCCAGUCCUGUCUGUGUGGCUGGCUCUAGACGACUCACUGGCAGAAAACGGAGCCCUGCAGGUCAUCCCAGGCAGCCACUGCUCGGACCUGCUGCCCCACCACCUUUCCUCCCGCCCAGGCAACAUGCUGUCAGUCAACCAGGAGAUCUCUGAGGAGCUGGUGCAAACGAACAGCGCUCUACUCUGCCCCCUGCUGGCUCGGCAGAUACCGUCCCAGGUGUUUCCAUUCUACAGUGAUGGCCAGUGGAUCAGACCAGUUCAGUCACUUCUCCACCUUGCUGUGAUGAGCCUUUCACCAUAACUACAACCAUAUCCAUACUGAUCGCAUUACUGUCUACCUAGAGGAACCUAAUGAUGCUGUAUUCACCUGUAGACUUACUGCUGUGUUCACCUGUAUGACUUACUGCUGUGUUCACCUGUAUGACUUACUGCUGUAUUCACCUGUAGACUUACUGCUGUGUUCACCUGUAUGACUUACUGCUGUGUUCACCUGUAUGACUUACUGCUGUGUUCACCUGUAUGACUUACUGCUGUAUUCACCUGUAUGACUUACUGCUGUGUUCACCUGCAUGGCUUACUGCUGUAUUCACCUGUAUGACUUACUGCUGUGUUCACCUGCAUGGCUUACUGCUGUAUUCACCUGUAUAACUUACUGCUGUGUUCACCUGUAUGACUUACUGCUGUAUUCACCUGUAUGACUUACUGCUGUGUUCACCUGUAUGACUUACUGCUGUAUUCACCUGUAUGACUUACUGCUGUAUUCACCUGUAUGACUUACUGCUGUGUUCACCUGUAUGACUUACUGCUGUGUUUACCUGUAUGACUUACUGCUGUGUUUACCUGUAUGACUUACUGCUGUGUUCACCUGUAUGACUUACUGCUGUGUUCACCUGUAUGACUUACUGCUGUAUUCACCUGUAUGACUUACUGCUGUGUUUACCUGUAUGACUUACUGCUGUGUUUACCUGUAUGACUUACUGCUGUGUUCACCUGUAUGACUUACUGCUGUGUUCACCUGUAUGACUUACUACUGUGCCGCCUCUAUCUGUAUUUGUUUACUUGGGAAUGUAUACAGUGGGCUCCAACAGUAUUGUGACAGUGACAAAUGUGUUGUUGUUUUGGUUGGCUCUGUACUCCAACACUUCGGAUUUGAAAGAAUACAGUGACUAUGAGUUUAAA